CUGGCCAAGGUCAUCCAUGACAACUUUGGCAUCGUGGAGGGACUCAUGACCACUGUCCAUGCCGUCACUGCCACCCAGAAGACCGUGGAUGGCCCGUCUGGGAAGAUGUGGCAUGAUGGCCGUGGGGCUCUCCAGAACAUCAUUUCCGCAUCGACUGGCACAGCCAAGGCCGUGGGCAAGGUCAUCCCCGAGCUGAACAAGAAGCUCACUGGCAUGGCCUUCCGCGUCCCCACUGCCAACGUGUCGGUGGUGGACCUGACCUGCCGUCUGGAGAAGCCGGCCAAGUAUGACGAUAUCAAGAAGGUGGUGAAGCAGGCGGCGGAUGGCCCCGUCAAGGGCAUCCUGGGCUACACUGAGCAUCAGGUUGUCUCCUCCGACUUCAACAGUGACACCCACUCUUCCACCUUUGAUGCUGGUGCUGGCAUCACCCUCAAUGACGACUUUGUAAAGCUCAUUGCCUGGUAUGACAAUGAAUUUGGCUACAGCAACAGGGUGGUGGACCUCAUGGCCCACAUGGCCACCAAGGAGUAA
RNA transcript from Propithecus coquereli (Coquerel's sifaka), 531 nucleotides. It is a transcript of the gene named glyceraldehyde-3-phosphate dehydrogenase pseudogene, with no coding region annotated. Lineage: Eukaryota; Metazoa; Chordata; Mammalia; Primates; Indriidae. The record is from RefSeq and is a predicted model, not a curated record. The transcript has a single exon.